AAAGAAGUAAAACCAUCACAGCUGAAAUAUUAAUCAAAUACAUUGAGAACUACAAUAGAUUGAAAUGCGGAACAGAUACAAGAAAAAGAGUGGCUAUUUUGUACUUUCAAAAGUUUUAAAAUUGUUUGAAGACAUAUUCAAGUGAGUAAAGAAAAAGAUGAAAUACAUUUGUCAAAAUGUAAAAUGUGAAUUCCAACACUUCAGCAGUAUAGAUAGUCAAUUAUUU
Molecule: unclassified non-coding RNA, 226 nt
Filed under: Hevea brasiliensis (rubber tree)
Lineage: Eukaryota; Viridiplantae; Streptophyta; Magnoliopsida; Malpighiales; Euphorbiaceae
Source: RNAcentral